CGCACCUUGCGCCUUUUGGUAUUCCGAAAGGCAUGCCUGUUUGAGUGUCAUGAAAUCUCAACCCCUCCAGGUUUCUGAUCUGGUGGUGGCUUGGACUUGGACGUGUGCCAGCCAAUGGCUCGUCUUAAAAGGAUUAGUGGAAUCUUGACAUCCACGGCAGACGUAAUAAGUUUCGUCUCGCCUCUUGUCGUAGGUCUGCUUACAACCUGCCAUCGCGCACUUUAUGACUCUGGCCUCAAAUCAGGUAGGGCUACCCGCUGAACUUAA
RNAcentral lists this unclassified non-coding RNA (267 nucleotides) under Rhynchogastrema glucofermentans. RNAcentral's name for it is "partial contains 5.8S ribosomal RNA, internal transcribed spacer 2, and large subunit ribosomal RNA". Lineage: Eukaryota; Fungi; Basidiomycota; Tremellomycetes; Tremellales; Rhynchogastremaceae. The record is from RNAcentral.